UAACCUGCCUUGGAUGGGGAAGUAACAGCUGGAAACAGCUGCUAAUACCGCAUGAUGCAGUUGGUCGCAUGCUCUGACUGCCAAAGAUUUAUCGCUCUGAGAUGGACUCGCGUCUGAUUAGCUAGUUGGCGGGGCAACGGCCCACCAAGGCGACGAUCAGUAGCCGGACUGAGAGGUUGGCCGGCCACAUUGGGACUGAGACACGGCCCAGACUCCUACGGGAGGCAGCAG
Molecule: ribosomal RNA, 231 nt
Filed under: uncultured bacterium
Lineage: Bacteria
Description: partial 16S ribosomal RNA
Rfam family: Bacterial small subunit ribosomal RNA
Source: RNAcentral